RNAcentral lists this long non-coding RNA (472 nucleotides) under Nicotiana benthamiana. Its description in RNAcentral is "long non-coding RNA (NBEN_LNC023902)". Lineage: Eukaryota; Viridiplantae; Streptophyta; Magnoliopsida; Solanales; Solanaceae. The record is from RNAcentral.
AGCAUUGCACUUCCUUGGAACACGCGUUGUAUAUGGAGUUAUGACUUUAUCUCCAAUUCUUGGAAUAUCCCUAAUAAUUUUGACAUCUUUUGAGAGAUGUGAUAUAAAGCGGUCGACAUCAAAAAUCUCAGAGAAGUUGCUGCACGAAGAAAGAAAUGAUUAAACCUCAUGAAUUGUAGUACGCUAUAACAAACAAAAAGAUAGCUUGCAAAACGCCUUUGUGCAAAUAUUAUCCCAAAUAAAACCUUGAAUCUUUCCAGUAGGAUUUCUGGUCAAGUUUUGGAACUACAAGGACGGCAUUCAAGAUAUGAGCUGCAACGUGUGAUAUAAACCGAUCGACAUCAAAAAUCUCAGAGAAGUUGCUGCACGAAGAAAGUAAUGAUUAAGCCUCAUGAAUUGUAGUACACUAUAACAAACAAAAAGAUGGCUCACAAAACGCCUUUGUGCAAAUAUUAUUCCAAAUAAAACCUUG